Microcebus murinus (gray mouse lemur) is the source of this 3000-nucleotide non-coding RNA. The record is from RefSeq and is a predicted model, not a curated record. NCBI's taxonomy places the organism in Eukaryota, Metazoa, Chordata, Mammalia, Primates, Cheirogaleidae.
UUGUUGUGUACAUUUUUCUAUGUAGGAGGAACUUACAGGUUUUUCUAGAUAAAUAUUUUAUUGAUUGAAAAACUGAGGUCCAGAGAGAUAAAGUGACUUAUUCAAAACACAUAACUAUAUUGGGACUAGGAUUCAGUGCAUUUUCUUACCUUUAUCUGUAAAAUAGAAGAUCCUGUUUUUAACAUUGUCAAAAGUUGCUCUGUUCAUUAUAGUAGGUGGUAGGUGUAUGUGACUAUUUGAAUUGGUUCAAAUUCAAUAAAAAUUAAAAAUUCAGUUUUUCAUUUGCACUGGUUAUAUUUCAAAUGCUCAGUAGCCAUGUGUGGCUGGUGGUUACUAUAUUGCACAACACAGACGUAGAACAUUUCCAUUAUUACAGAAAGUUCUUUUGAAUAGUGCUGGUCUAAAGCAUAAUUUAUUUUUCAUAAAGAAACUUUCAUAAAGAUUUAGUAAGAUUUUAAAAAAGACCUAUAGAAGGUAGACAGAGGUUGUCAGAACACAAAAUAACCUUAGUUUCUUUGUUCUUGUUGGAAUAUAUUACAACAGACAGUGAAAAAUCUGUGUCAUGGUUUAUUUUAUUCUCAAACUGAAUAUUUGAAUUUCAAGGAUGAAGAAGAUGAUGAUGACUAUGUUGAAGAAGGGGAAGAAGAAGAAGAAGAGGAAGAAGAAAGUCUUCGAGGGGAGAAGAGGAAACGAGAUGCUGAAGAUGAUGGAGAGGAAGAAGAUGACUAGAUCAUUCUAGGACCAGAUUCCCUAAUAUUCAUGGGUGUGCAAUAGAGUGAUCACAUCUUUGUUUCUUCAUGUACAAUAGCUGUCUCUACAGAAGAUAAUGUGUAACUUUUUAUAGGAAAAGUGUGGUUUUACUAUUUUUGCCUUAUCAUUCCAAAUAAGAUUUACUAGUCUGUUAAUGAUCAUAUUGUAUGUAGAGAAAAAUUUUCUUGGUCCCCGAUUUGAAAUUCCUUAGCGAUUUAUUUAGAAUGUUAAUUUUUCUAAUUCAAGCUCAUUAUAUUAGUCAUUUUUACCCCAUAAUUAAAACAUGAUCAGUUUUACACAGGUGUAGUAUGGUGCAUUUCACUCAUAAGGUUUUAAAGUUAUUUAUAAAUUAACUGAAAUUACAGUAAGCUGUAAUAUGAAAUGACAAUAGUCUCUUGAAUGAUGGGUUGGUUAUUUUUUUAGAGGUGAUCCAGAGAUCAUUAGUUUGAAGGCAGUGGCUUUUUUUUUAGUAAGAGUAUUUGAGUGCUUUUUUGGUCCCAUAAGUAACUUGGAAAGUAGAAGCAGAAUAAUAAAGGUUCUGUUCAGCAAUAUAUUAAUAGUUCAUGGAUUUUGAGGAGGUGCCAUUCAGUAAUGCAGUUCAUGGAUUUUGUGGUGACCUAUAAGAUUUUCUUUUUGAAGGACAAAUUGCUUAUACUAAGUCCAGAGAUAUGCAGGUGAGCCCUUUCAUCAGGCUGCAGAUCAUGACACGCCAGUGGUUGUUUAUUUUGUUUUGGUUUUAGGUGUGCAUUCUUUUUCUCAGCAAUUCUUUUAUAAUCACCUUUCCCUUCUUGUUUCACUCCCUUCUAUCUCAGAAGAAAGUUGGGAAGUUUGUAGAUACCUAGGAAAACUUUUAGUCUUAUACCUCAACCACCUUUUCAGAUCUGUCUUGAGUUUUAAAUAAGUGAAAUGAAAGUAAUUGAGUAUUUUCUUAGCUACAAAUAUUAUUGAUACAGUUUUAUGCAACAAGCUCUGCUUAGUGUAAAUCUUUCUUAGUCGAACAUCUAAGACUAUUAGUAGGAAGAAAAAAGAAAAGCAGAGGCUUUUGGAAGCAGCAUUAAUGUUCCUCAAAAGUCAGAACAAUUGCCUGUUGAUAAUAAGAUAUUCAAGUCAAAUUUUUAAGUUGGCUUCUCAGAUGAUUUGGAUAUCACUGUGCAAAGUAUUUCUAAUUUUCCCAAGUAGAACCUUUAACAGUUUUAAAGCAUUACCAGCUAUAGCAUUAUUUGGAAUAUACUAGGCAGUAGGAAAAAUAUUUGAAACUAAAUUGGUAUUAAAAUUAAGAUUUGUUUUCAAGUGGAUGUUCAUUUAAAAUAGAAAAAAUAUUUGGCAUAAGUGUGUGUGUUUCUUUAUAUGGCUACUAAAUAAAAUAUAAUGAGUAGACCAGUGCAUCUCCAUUUUUGUCAUGGAGGCUCCAUGUUCAAGGCAAAUGCUUUUUUAGUCUUGGCUAUGUAAAAUUUUUUACUUUGUUUUGAAUAUUUGUAAAUUUUUAAAAAGUGUCAGCAAAUUAACUGAAAUUAUGCUUCUAUACUGGGACACAUUUAAAUUACUGAGUAUAGUACUGCUGCUGCUUCCUUUUUAGUUUAAAAUGUAUGACUUGGCAUUUUAAAUUAAAAAUUAUGAAGUUAUUUGUGGAGAAACUAAAAAAGUUGUACAAGUGACUGAAAUAAAACACUUAGGACAAGUUUAGUAGUAGGGGGAUUGGAAUCUCCAAAAGACUCACAUUUUUCUUCCAAUUUAAAACAUUGAAAUGCCCUGUUCUAGUCCCUAAGAAUUCUCAUUGCAUACAUACUAUACCAGAUUAUAAAAUACUUAUUUUUAAAAUGAAAUCUAUAUAUUAACUUUCUUAUCAAUCAUCUUAUUGUGCAAUCAAAAUUAGAGUUCUUUGGUUUGAAAACAACACUUACAGCCUCCUGAUAACUUUUAAGACUUACUUAGCUUUGUGGGUGGUAUUUUCAUGCAAAUAAGUAAGGGUGGGUUUUUUAUUUUGUAGAAGUUUUUGGUCCUAUUUUAAUGCUCUUUAUAUGGCAGUAUGUAUAUAGUGUGUUAAGUUCCUUAAGAAUCUCUCCUUAAAAACUUUGAAGUUAAUACUUUUGUGCAACUGUGUUUUGAAUAAAGCCAUGACAGUGUUAAAAACAAACAAAAAAAUGCAGUACUCUUGAUUAUUCUUUUAUUGUUUCUGUUUUUUCUGUGACUGCUGUAACUUAAAAGUUUUUGAAACUGAGUUGCUUCAAAUAAACUGAAGAUUUGUUAUAA